This is a long non-coding RNA of Marmota flaviventris (yellow-bellied marmot), 666 nucleotides long. RefSeq lists it as uncharacterized. The record is from RefSeq and is a predicted model, not a curated record. NCBI's taxonomy places the organism in Eukaryota, Metazoa, Chordata, Mammalia, Rodentia, Sciuridae.
CCCUGGGAGGAGGCAAAGGGUGAAGUCAACCUAGAGGCUGCACUUCAGUCUGCAGUCCCUCCCCUCCAGUUCGGCCGACGCCUUUCUGGAUCUUCACACAGGAUGCUGGUACUGCCACCCAUUUACCAGCAGGGGACAAGCUUAUCCAAGGAGUGCUUGGCAGGUCGGAAUUCAGAAUGAAGGAGGCCAAAACCCAGAGGCAAAAGCAUUUCUUGUUCUACUUGCGGUGGAUCUGCUCACUGGUCACAUGUGUGUCACCACACGGGUGUGUCCCUAGUGCCAGGUCAGGGACCAGAGGUCCCCGCUGGAGGAAUGGAUGGAUGGAGGAAGCCACGGCCAGGAGCACUGCAGCGCCUCUCUCCCCAGGGCUCAUGCAGUCACACCCCCUUCAGAGUUCCAGGUGGCCUGCGGAGACCUAUGAAAAAUGAAAAGGGCUGGAGAUGGGGCUCAGUGCCCCGGGUUAAUUCCCCAGAACAACAACAACAACCACAGAUCCUUGCUCUGGCUCAGGCUACAUUGAUUUUCUUUUCUUUCUUUGCUGCACUCUGGGGGAUCAAGCCCAGGGCCUGUACAUGCUGGUCAAGGGCUCUGCCACUGUGCCACAUGACCACAUCCCCAGCGCCUGGGUCCAUUUCUGUUGCUUUCCUUGACCUUUUCUUCCAUCAA